Molecule: non-coding RNA, 92 nt
Organism: Acanthosepion pharaonis
Lineage: Eukaryota; Metazoa; Mollusca; Cephalopoda; Sepiida; Sepiidae
Source: the annotation of a GenBank genome assembly
CAUUGUAACCCGUACGAUCAUCAAAGUUAAGCAACAUCGAGCCUGGUCAGUACCUAGAUGGGUGACCGCUUGGAAGGACCAGGUGCUGUAAG